This is a long non-coding RNA of Cheilinus undulatus (humphead wrasse), 2846 nucleotides long. RefSeq lists it as uncharacterized. NCBI's taxonomy places the organism in Eukaryota, Metazoa, Chordata, Actinopteri, Labriformes, Labridae. The transcript is spliced from 4 exons. The record is from RefSeq and is a predicted model, not a curated record.
CGGAGAAGAAAGCCUUACGUUUUGCCUUGAGGUUUUUUCAGUAAAUGUUUAAUUCAGCGUGUCCUGCACAUUGUUUUUUUACAUUCUUUAAGUGUCUGACCUGGAAUCAAAUUACUCUUCGCCUUGACUGAUCUGCAGAAAAAAAAAAAUGCCCCAGCAACUUCUUGGGGGAAUGUCAAGCAGAAAGCGAAGACCUAACUGGACGGACCAGGAGUGUCUUCUUCUUGCUCAGUUAAUGCAUGAGAGAAAAGGAAUAAUUAAAGCAAAGUGCAGCGCUGGAGUUUCGAUACAGGAUAAAAGACAAGCUUGGGAGGAAAUUGCCCAAGCUAUUAAUGCUGCCUUUCCACAUAUCCAGCGCACAGUUUCAGACUGUAACAAAAAGUGGGAAAAUCUGCUGGCAAAGUCAAGGGAGGAGAUCAGACGACAGAAAAAACAAUCAAGUACAGAAGAUGUGUCCCUCACAGAGUUAAGUACUGUAACCCGAGUUGUGGUAUCUGUAAUGAAUCUAUCAAACAUGUUGCAACAAGAUAGAGAGGACUCUUCAGUUUCAGAGAUGAUGCAAACUCAACACAACAGUGAUGAAAAUGGAAAUGGCCACAUGAUGGAGUCACACUUCAUAAACUCCGAUUCUCACACAGAUCUUCAGAUCCCUGCAUAUGAGGAAGCAUCCAUCUCUCCACCAGAACAAAAAGUUCUUAUUUUUCCGGACAUAUCCAACUCAGUUGCAUCGCAGUUUGGCACUCCUCGUGCUGCUGGUUUUACCGCUUCGGCAGAACAUUCAGAUCCUAGAUCAACACCUGCCGCACACUGCACAACUCUGCAGGAGCGGAUGGAUUUGGAACUGAGUGUGCUAAGGAGACAAGAAGCAGUCCUAAAGCUGCAGGAAGAAUAUUAUACUCUAAAAAUAAAGCUUAUGAAACAGCAAAUGGAAAAGCAGCUUUCAAAGGACUGAAAUUGUGGAAUGCAAACUGUUUUACCUUUUUUGUGCCUGCUGUGAAAUGUGGCUAUUGGUCGACACAACUCUUGGUAAUACUCUGAAUUAUUUGUGUUAAAUCCAAAACUCCUCUUUGGAUAGUGAAGUAUAAUGAUAUUUCAAUCAGACGAGACUUGAAAACCAGUGAGCAAUUAUUUAUUUUACUAGUGUGGAUAGAACAGAAUGUAAAAUGUCUUUGGCGAAUAGACUCCACCAUGAUGUGUUUAUGUCCUCAAAGGGGUAGUAAGUCCAACAGCAGGAUAGGAUUCCCCUAUUUAUGAAGUCUAGAGACUGUGGUGAGAUAGGAAGUGGACUUCUGAGGAGCUGAACCCAAACCUGGACACAGAUGAGAUGGGAAGGAGGUGGCUGAGGUUGAGGAGGAUCACACUGAAAUAAAAACUGACUGCAGGGAGAGGAGAACAGAUUUUAAAAUAUGACAAAAGCAGGAUGAUUGGCCAAGAGAGGUCUAGCAAAACAGGAUUGUUUUAAACGCUAAUAACCAUCUGUUUACCAGAGCAGGAAAAGAGGGGAACCGGGAAAAACUGAGAAACAUCUAUACGCAAUGAGAGGAAGGAUGAAUGGAUAUUGAAGUCUUCCUGUUCACAUCUGAUGCUAAGAAUCACCUCAAAUCAACUGUUCUCUCCAUUUAAAUAAAAGUCAGCAAUUUUUGUGAUACCUGUUAUUUUGGCUAUAUUACCUAGAUGGCUCACAGGACUGUCUUUAAGCUUUUUUUAUCAGUACAGUAGCAAACACUACCAAUGCUAAUGUUGACACAAUACCAAGAGUACCUUUAUGCCUUACCAGAGAGUUCUUUUGUGCAUUACCAUGAACCUGGGACUUAAUAGGUUGCAGCAAUCAGUAUCAUUGGCUAAACCCUUGUUUUCACUGCUGUCUGGUGUGCAUGUGUAGAGUGUGGAAAAUCAUAAGAAUUCUUUUUUUAUUUAUUUAUUUAUUUUUAAAGAUUUAAAUUUGGGUUCCUUAUACCUUCAUUGACAGAGGAGGACAGUUGACAGAACCAGAAACAGGGAUGAGAGGGCUGGGGAGAGACAUGCAGGAACAUGCCACAGGCCGGUGUCGAACUCGGGCUUCCCCAGUAUCCCACAAAGUGAAUUGUAUGCACUAGAGCCUAAAUGCAGGAGGAUAUUAACUGCAGACUUGAAUAUUUUAGAAAUAGUACAGUGGAUAACCUGUGGGGAGAGUGUGGAGAAUGACAUCUAAGCAAAGAGACUGGAUCUGUGGACAACAGCCUCUCUACAUGGGACAUGCAGACAUAACCACCAAGCUACCAGCGCCUCAGCAUGUGUGGAUGUUUAAACAAGGAAAUGCUCUGUUCUUAGCUCCAGCGGUCAGUGUUAAGCUUUAAGAAAAAGUGAAAUAUCCUUAAAGCAUACUAUGUCUGUGUUUUGGGUUAUGGCUUAACAAUUACUUUGCCUGUGUAGGGCAGUCAUAUUGUUAUGAGAAUGACCACACUACAUUUUGAAAUACAAUAAAGGCUGAUUAUGUUCAUCACAACCAAAUAAAACCUCAAAAUCUUUUAAAUAUUAAAUAAUAUUUUUUUAAUAUUUCAAAAUUAAGUUUUGUAUAGGCCACAAAAAUUGUUUUGUCUUCUGCAUUAUAACACCCAUGACCAUCAUACUACAGUAAGAUGGUUUUGUUUGCAAAUCUUUUUUCCUGCUUCAGUCAUAAAGAUAACUUUUGUUUUUUAAAAAUAAUCUACCAUUGUAACUUUUUAUUACAAAAAUGUAUUUACAUUUCUUUUUUGCCCAAAAUUUUACAUUUUCAAACACCUAAAUACUGUAGAAUUUGAUGCACAACCCCCAAUUUCAAAAUGUUACAACUUUUUGUAAAGUGUGAAUUAAAACAGAAUACACUG